GCAGAGCGGUCCCAGCCCCUGCGCCCAGAACGGAGCCCACGUUUCCGCAGAGCUGGAAUUCCCGGCUCGGAGUCUCUUCCCUCCGCCGUCACGGAACUGCCCCGGAUCGGCGGCCGAAGCCGCGACAGACGUGGGGACGGCGGGCCGGUACGCUGGCCUCUCACCGUUGUGGCCUCUCCCGUUGCGGAGCACAGGCUCCAGACGCGCAGGCUCAGCGGCCAUGGCUCACGGUCUUAGUUGCUCCGCGGCAUGUGGGAUCUUCCCGGACCGGGGCAAGAACCCGUGUCCCCUGCAUCGGCAGGUGGACUCUCAACCCCUGCGCCACCAGGGAAGCCCGGGCAUAGAAAAAGGCUCAACAUCAGGAAUUUAUAAAGCCAUGCAAAUCCAGUCUACAAAAACGUUCACCACACAGUCGUCAGAAUGAUCAUCAACAAAAAAGUCUACAAAGAAUAAAUACUGAAGGGGUUUUAGAGGAUGGCGUACCCUCUAGCUGCUGGUGGGAUGUCACCUGGUAACAGCCAGUGGUGAGAACAGAAUGGAGGUGCAUUUCAAGGUAAAAAUUGAGCUACCUUACGAUCUGGGAGGCCCACUGAUGGGCCUAUCUCCUGAGUAGACGAGAAUCAAAAAGACACAGGCUGGCAAUCCUGAAUACCAGCAACAUGUGACAUAGCCAAGAAUUGGAAGAAACCAGAAUGUCCAUCAACAGAGAAAUGCACCAAGAAGUGGUCCAUGUACACAAUGGAAUAUUAGCCAAGGAAAAGAAUGAAACGUUGCCGUUGGCACCACAAUAGAAGGAUCUAGAAAUAGUCAGUCAGACAACUGGAAGUAAGAAAGAACCCAAAAGACAGAUAUCCUAUGACAUCAGUUAUAGGUGUUAUAUAAAAAUUAAUACCCAUGAAAUUAUUUCCAAGAGAA
This is a long non-coding RNA of Globicephala melas (long-finned pilot whale), 915 nucleotides long. RefSeq lists it as uncharacterized. Lineage: Eukaryota; Metazoa; Chordata; Mammalia; Artiodactyla; Delphinidae. The record is from RefSeq and is a predicted model, not a curated record.